Molecule: ribosomal RNA, 252 nt
Filed under: uncultured bacterium
Lineage: Bacteria
Description: partial 16S ribosomal RNA
Rfam family: Bacterial small subunit ribosomal RNA
Source: RNAcentral
AGGGGCAGAUUAAAAUCCAGGUGGAGCGGUGAUAUGCCUAGAGAUCGGGAGGAACUCCUUAGGUAAAAGCACUCUGCUGGGCCAUAACUGACUCUGACAGACAAAAGCGAGGGGAGCAAAAGGGAUUAUAUCCCCCUGUAGUCCUCGCCGUUAACGACGGAUACUAGAUGUUGGGUAGGUUAAAUCACUCCGCAUCGCAGCUAACGCGUGAAGUAUCCCGCCUGGUGAGUAUGCUCGCUAGAGUGAAACUCA